Macrobrachium nipponense is the source of this 1549-nucleotide long non-coding RNA. RefSeq lists it as uncharacterized. Lineage: Eukaryota; Metazoa; Arthropoda; Malacostraca; Decapoda; Palaemonidae. The record is from RefSeq and is a predicted model, not a curated record. The transcript is spliced from 3 exons.
CGCCAACUGCCAAGAUGUUCACUCCUCUUCCCUCUUGCUCUCCCUUCCGUCUGGAGAGCCUUACAUGUUCAUUUACAUAGUGCUAACCCCUGAUCAGCAAUUCAGAAGAAAACAAGACCAAAAAUGCCCAGGCACCAACGUGAAGACCUUGGGAUUGGUGGACCAUCAUUGGUGUCGAUUACAAUUGAAGAAUGGUCACUGGUAGGCCAGUCAUCACUUGUUCUCCAACUAAAAUCAACACUGCAGUUGGGAGCUACAAUUUAAAAGGUUGAUGCAGGAGACGAUGCCUGUCUGAAUGUGAUAAUGGAUUCCGACUGCCCUGAAUUCCGUGCACCUGCCUCCUUGCCAGCGCCCACUUACCAUAGAAGAUAUUAUCAUCAAUAAUCGGCAACCAGCCUUGCAUAGAUUGUAAAUUCGGCCAUCUCUCAUGUUAUUGUGAAUAAUAGAAUGAUUUAACACAGUAUUCUGUGCCCUCUCCAUGGAGCUUAUCUGCCGUUCAGUUUGUCUUAAGGCUGUUCAAUUCUGUGUAAAUAAACUUAAUUUUCAAAAUGGCUGGUUUUCUGGCAACCUUAACAAAUCAGUAAACCGUUUUCUAAAGCAAGGUAAGUCAAAAGUGCUUCAUUCCUACUCCAUAACCUUACAUGUGUAAGUCGUGGCGGACAUUUACAGCAAAUCAUAUGAUUUUAUUAAUAUUCCCUAAUCCAAAACGACCCCCACACAUUCUUAUUAUUAUAAUUAUUAUAAAGUUAGGAUUUACCAGCCCAAUGGGUCUAACUAGACUCUUACAGUGCUGGCCCGAAAACAUUCAUGAGGAAAUUAUUAAAAAAUACACACAUAAAAUGCGUGUCUACAAAGUGGAAUGGGAUGGAAUGGUAGUUAAUGAAUUAUAAUAAAUUAAUGAUAAAUGAGGAUGAUUGUUAAGUGAUAUAUGAGGUUGGAAUUAAAAAUAUGAAUUGAGCUUAUAAAAGACUGAAAUAGAUGAAAAUGACAAAAGUCAUCUAUUUUAGUAGGGUAUAAAUAUGUUAUAUCUUAUUAAUCAAAUAAGUGUUUUUUAAAAAUAUUAAUACGUACUCUAAAUAAAGAAAAAUGAUCUGACUGAUAGUAUUUCUGAUAAUGAUUUACUGCCUAAAUGUUUUUCUCUAUUAAAAAUUAGGCCUUCAAUAAAAUAUGCUUGACUUUCAAAAUUGUAUUGCAGACAUUGCAAUGAGGGAUGUUCCCCUGUGGAGUUAUCAUUAAAUACUCGUGAGUUAGUCUUGUGUGGCCUAUUCGUAAUCUUGUUAAUAUUACUUCAGCUCAUUUUUCAUUUUGUACUGAUGUAUUCCACAAGUCUACAUUCUGCUUGAUGCACUUUAAUUCAUUGGUGUCUGCUUCACUAUGCCACAGGUUUUGCCAUUUUGUUUUUAAGCACUGCUUCACUGAGUUUAUAUAAUCUGUAGCAGGCAAUUUAUUAUCAAAAAUUGGUGAAUUUAUCCCAGACUAUAAGGCUAAGGCUAAGGCCCCACCGAAUCCGUCGCGGCGCGUCGCGUGCGUCCAACACGGCUAUCCGUCU